This 579-nucleotide ribosomal RNA is filed under the name Chaetomium sp. CW2. RNAcentral's name for it is "eukaryotic LSU rRNA". The stretch from base 196 to 349 matches the Rfam family "5.8S ribosomal RNA". The record is from RNAcentral. Lineage: Eukaryota; Fungi; Ascomycota; Sordariomycetes; Sordariales; Chaetomiaceae.
UCCGUUGGUGAACCAGCGGAGGGAUCAUUACAGAGUUGCAAAACUCCCAAACCAUCGUGAACGUUACCUACAUCGUUGCUUCGGCGGGUGGCGGGCUUCGGCCCUGCCCUCGGCCCCUCUCGGGGGCCCGCCGGAGGUACACCAAACUCUUGAAUUUACAUGGCCUCUCUGAGUCUUCUGUACUGAAUAAGUCAAAACUUUCAACAACGGAUCUCUUGGUUCUGGCAUCGAUGAAGAACGCAGCGAAAUGCGAUAAGUAAUGUGAAUUGCAGAAUUCAGUGAAUCAUCGAAUCUUUGAACGCACAUUGCGCCCGCCAGUAUUCUGGCGGGCAUGCCUGUCCGAGCGUCAUUUCAACCAUCAAGCCCCCGGCUUGUGUUGGGGACCUGCGGCACACCCGCAGGCCCUGAAAACCAGUGGCGGGCUCGCUGUCCACACCGAGCGUAGUAGCAUAUCUUUGUCUCGCUCAGGGCGUGCGGCGGGUUCCGGCCGUGAAACCCACCUUCUCGAAGGUACCCAAAGGUUGACCUCGGAUCAGGUAGGAAGACCCGCUGAACUUAAGCAUAUCAAUAAGCGGAGGA